GCCAUCCUAGUAUAGUGGUCAGUACUCUGCUUUGUGGCAGCAGCGACCCAGGUUCGAUUCCUGGGGAUGGCA
Molecule: transfer RNA, 72 nt
Rfam family: tRNA
About the family: Transfer RNA (tRNA) molecules are approximately 80 nucleotides in length.
Source: Rfam